Long non-coding RNA from Dermochelys coriacea (leatherback sea turtle), 115 nucleotides. RefSeq lists it as uncharacterized. Lineage: Eukaryota; Metazoa; Chordata; Testudines; Dermochelyidae. The transcript has 2 exons. The record is from RefSeq and is a predicted model, not a curated record.
GGGGGGUUGGAUGGGUUGGGGAUUCUGAGGGGGGCAGGGGCAGGGGCCAGGCUGUUUGGGGAGGCACAGCCUCCUCUACCCAGCUCUCCAUACAGUUGCGCAACCCCGUUGUGGC